RNAcentral lists this ribosomal RNA (651 nucleotides) under uncultured Actinomycetales bacterium. RNAcentral describes it as "bacterial SSU rRNA". It matches the Rfam family "Bacterial small subunit ribosomal RNA", at positions 95 to 760 of the family's 1533-position model. The record is from RNAcentral. Lineage: Bacteria; Bacillati; Actinomycetota; Actinomycetes; Actinomycetales.
GUGGCGAACGGGUGAGUAACACGUGGGUAAUCUGCCCUGUACUCUGGGAUAAGCCUGGGAAACUGGGUCUAAUACCGGAUAUGACCUUUCACCGCAUGGUGGGGGGUGGAAAGUUCCGGCGGUAUGGGAUGAACCCGCGGCCUAUCAGCUUGUUGGUGGGGUAAUGGCCUACCAAGGCGACGACGGGUAGCCGGCCUGAGAGGGUGACCGGCCACACUGGGACUGAGACACGGCCCAGACUCCUACGGGAGGCAGCAGUGGGGAAUAUUGCACAAUGGGCGAAAGCCUGACGCAGCGACGCCGCGUGGGGGAUGACGGCCUUCGGGUUGUAAACCUCUUUCGCCAGGGACGAAGCGCAAGUGACGGUACCUGCAGAAGAAGCACCGGCCAACUACGUGCCAGCAGCCGCGGUAAUACGUAGGGUGCAAGCGUUGUCCGGAAUUAUUGGGCGUAAAGAGCUCGUAGGCGGUUUGUUGCGUCGGCUGUGAAAUCCCGAGGCUCAACCUCGGGUCUGCAGUCGAUACGAGCAAACUAGAGUGUUGCAGGGGAGACUGGAAUUCCUGGUGUAGCGGUGAAAUGCGCAGAUAUCAGGAGGAACACCGGUGGCGAAGGCGGGUCUCUGGGCCGAUACUGACGCUGAGGAGCGAAAGC